This 301-nucleotide ribosomal RNA is filed under the name uncultured bacterium. Its description in RNAcentral is "partial 16S ribosomal RNA". It matches the Rfam family "Bacterial small subunit ribosomal RNA", at positions 509 to 807 of the family's 1533-position model. The record is from RNAcentral.
CAGCCGCCACGGUAAUACGUAGGGUGCAAGCGUUAAUCGGAAUUACUAGGCGUAAAGCGUGCGCAGGCGGUUUGUUAAGACAGAUGUGAAAUCCCCGGGCUCAACCUGGGAACUGCAUUUGUGACUGGCAAGCUAGAGUCUGGCAGAGGGGGGUGGAAUUCCGCGUGUAGCAGUGAAAUGCGUAGAUAUGCGGAGGAACACCGAUGGUGAAGGCAGCCCCCUGGGCCAACACUGACGCUCAUGCACGAAAGCGUGGGGAGCAAACAGGAUUAGAUACCCGGGUAGUCCCUGUCUCUUAUAC